Molecule: long non-coding RNA, 795 nt
Organism: Andrographis paniculata
Lineage: Eukaryota; Viridiplantae; Streptophyta; Magnoliopsida; Lamiales; Acanthaceae
Exons: 3
Source: RefSeq, a predicted model, not a curated record
CUCUGCUCGUAAAUCCUUUGAAGAAAAUCAUUUUGUCAUCGCCCAACCAGCCCGCUGUCGUCCAGUAUUCACUUUCUCGCCCAGACGAUGCGUCGUUGCUUAGCCUUCAUCUUCUUCACACGUUGUCACACAAUCCCGUCGUCGUGCAGUCUCCCCGCUAUCAAGGCCACUUCUUCCCAGGACUGCAAUCAUGUGACUCAUCAAGUGCUUUCAAGGUGUGAUGGUAUGUGAAAGGAUUCUAUAUAAUUCUUUUGGGUGAACACCAAACUGCCUUAUCUUGACAAACCAGAAGAUGUACCAAUUGUUAUCUUAGCAUUUUCCUAAUCAACUAUGUGCAAGAAAUUAUGGAAACUGAUAAAGGUGUUUGUAGAACGUACGAAGAAAAGCAACAGAAAAGAGACUGAAAGCAAAGACCGAAUGGAUUGAAGCUUAGUGAAAGCAACAGAAAAGAGACUGAAAGCAAAUUGAGCACACAAGAUUUAGAAAAAUGAAAAUCCCAAGAUGAACCAAAUGAAAGAUAACUCUUCAGAGUACAUACAAAGCCUAACCCCAGUGCCGGAAGACACGAAUGUUCAUAAAUAAUAGAUGUGUGUUUAAUCAUUUGUUAAAAAAAACUCGGCCUUUGAGGUUGUGAUUACUUAGCAAUUAGUUGAUUAUUUGUUGUUUAGUUUAAUAUUCCAAAAAUAGAUACAUGUUUAACCAAAUGUAAAGUUGUAUUGUAUUUUAAGUUGUAAUGUUGUAAUUACACACCAUGUAUUUUUUGAGGAAUAUGAUGAUGUUGUUUGAGAUUUAUAC